UUUAUAAUAGAUAUUCAAACUAGUUUUUUUUUUUUUUAUAUAAAAUAAUCUUAAUAUUAAAAGUGCAUUGGUAACUGUCCUUUUCAUAAUUUGACUCUCAAAAAUACUUUUUAAAAAAUAUUAAAAGUGCUUAAAAAAAUAAACAUUUUCUAGCUGCUUGGCCAAAUAGGUCAAACACCCUGCAAGUUCAAUGUACUAAUGACAUUAAAAAACAUAAUUCAAAUUAAGUUAGUCAUUAAAUAAAUUCUUGAUAAAUUAUAAUUGGUAAUCUAAUUACUCAUUUUCUUAAUUCAUGAAGAAUAAAAAUCUAUCAACUCUUUUUAAAUUUAUCCAAACACUUCAAAACUGCUUAAAAAUUAUUUUCACUUGAAAACACUUAAAACAAGUCAAUCCUAAAGACUCUUAAUCAAACACCGUCCAAGUUCAAUGUACUAAUGACAAAAAAAUAUAUUCACAUAAAGUUAAGCAUUAAAUAAAUUUCUUAGUAAACCAUAAUUGGUAAUCUAAUUACUCAUUUUCUUAAUUCAUGAAGCAAAAAAAUAAUCUAUAAACACUUUUUUAAUUUACCUAAACACUUCAAAAGUGCUUACAAAUUUUUUAGUUAAAAACACUUAAAACAAGUCAAUUCAAACACACUCAUAAUCAAACACCUUCCAAGUUCAAUGUACUAAUGUGACAUAAAAAAUACAUAUUCAAAUAAAGCUAAUCAUUAAAUAAAUUUCUUGGUAAUCUGAUUACUCAUUUUCUUAACUCAAAAAAAUAAAAUCUAUACAACUUAUUUAUAAAUUAAAUAAAACUAUUAUACCUCAUAGUCAAACACUUUUUCAAGAAAACAUUUAAAUUCAAAUCUCAUUGUAUUUGACCAAAUUCGAUUUUGUUACCAAAUUUUGCAAAAACAUAAAUAUUUUUCCAUAGGUAGUUUCAAAGAAAUAGUAUAAAUAUAUGAUAAUAAUAAUGAUAUAAUAAGAUAUUGAAAUAAUAUUUACAAAAACCGAAUUUUGACCAUGAUAACAGUGAACCAUUCAUCUAGUAGCGAUGAAGAAGAUCAUGAUGAAGAAGAAGAAGAAGAAGAAGAAGAAGAAGAAGAAGAAGAAGAAGAAGAAGAAGAAGAAGAAGAAGAAGAAGAAGAAGAAGAAGAAGAAGAAGAAGAAGAAGAAGAAGAAGAAGAAGAAGAAGAAGAAGAAGAAGAAGAAGAAGAAGAAGAAGAAGAAGAAGAAGAAGAAGAAGAAGAAGAAGAAGAAGAAGAAGAAGAAGAAGAAGAAGAAGAAGAAGAAGAAGAAGAAGAAGAAGAAGAAGAAGAAGAAGAAGAAGAAGAAGAAGAAGAAGAAGAAGAAGAAGAAGAAGAAGAAGAAGAAGAAGAAGAAGAAGAAGAAGAAGAAGAAGAAGAAGAAGAAGAAGAAGAAGAAGAAGAAGAAGAAGAAGAAGAAGAAGAAGAAGAAGAAGAAGAAGAAGAAGAAGAAGAAGAAGAAGAAGAAGAAGAAGAAGAAGAAGAAGAAGAAGAAGAAGAAGAAGAAGAAGAAGAAGAAGAAGAAGAAGAAGAAGAAGAAGAAGAAGAAGAAGAAGAAGAAGAAGAAGAAGAAGAAGAAGAAGAAGAAGAAGAAGAAGAUCAUGAUGAAGAAGAAGAAGAAGAAGAUGAUAAUGAUGAAGAAGAAGAAGAUGAUAAUGAUGCAGGACCCAGUAACCCCACAAGCAGACCUGUACCCAAGAGACGGAGGACUACCGCCGGAACUUUCUCUUGUAGCGUCGUUAUCCGUCAACAAGAAGAAGAAGAAGAAAGAGAAAGGGAAAGGGAAAGGGAAAGGGAAAGGAUUGUUGAGGAAGAAGUAGAGGAGGAGGCAGAGGAGGAGGAGGAUUGGGGAUUGGAAUCGGAAUCUGAGGGAAAUUUCCGAUUGAGCGGUGAUCGGAGGGUGCCAGUUCAUGAAUCCGAGGUUUCAAGAGAGAACAGGUCUAUUUCUGGAGAGGACCCAGAUCAGAAUUUGGAGGGUUCAAGAGUAAACGGGUCAAUUUCUGUGACGUUAUUGGAUCCGGAUGUGUUGGAUUGCCCAAUCUGCUUUGAACAUCUCUGUGUUCCUGUCUUUCAGGUUUCUUCUUUUUACCCUUUUCAUUGCUAUUAGGAGUAUAAGAAUUUACCUGUGUAUAUAUGUUGGAAUUAAUUGUGUUCGGAGAAUUCUUGAUUUGCCUUAAGGUUUUUGAAUGACAUGGUCUUGAAUAGAAAGGAAUUUGUAUUGACAUUUAUAAUCUGACCCAUAUA
This 2251-nucleotide long non-coding RNA is filed under the name Solanum tuberosum (potato). RNAcentral's name for it is "long non-coding RNA (STUB_LNC003393)". Lineage: Eukaryota; Viridiplantae; Streptophyta; Magnoliopsida; Solanales; Solanaceae. The record is from RNAcentral.